AUGGCCAUAUCAUAUCGAAAACAUCAGUUCUCGUCCGAUCAUCUAAGUUAAGAAACGUUGGGCCUGGUCAGUACUUGGGAGGGUGACGGGGAAACCUCCAUACGAGCGAUAUCU
Non-coding RNA from Cordylochernes scorpioides, 114 nucleotides. Lineage: Eukaryota; Metazoa; Arthropoda; Arachnida; Pseudoscorpiones; Chernetidae. The record is from the annotation of a GenBank genome assembly.